Molecule: long non-coding RNA, 1025 nt
Organism: Raphanus sativus (radish)
Lineage: Eukaryota; Viridiplantae; Streptophyta; Magnoliopsida; Brassicales; Brassicaceae
Exons: 2
Source: RefSeq, a predicted model, not a curated record
AGUAAGUGUCAAUUCUCAUUGAUCAAUAAAGAAAGGCAAGGAUUACCAUUUAUUAGAUCACAGCCGUCUAUCUCAUCUCCUUUUACGUUAUUCUUCUCUUUUUUAAUAGCAAUCCUAGUGAUUCUUUCUAUUGGCUAAUACAAGAAAAUGGGGAUAACCUUUCUUUUAAUUUUAGCCGUUGAUGAAUUUAAUCUAAAGGACAUAAACAUUUGUUUUUUUAAUUGGUUCUCUCUCUCUCUCUCCUCCUCUCAUCUUCUACCGUCGUAAAACUGGAAAAAAAAACAAGGCUCCAUCUUUUCUUCUUCUCUGGAAUAAACUCUAAUAAACCAAGGAAAUCUCCAUCUUUUACGCAGGACUCCACUUCUCACCUCGUUCGUUCAUGUCUCGAGCCCAAGAGAAUCUCCAAUCAAAACAGAAUAAUGCAGUGGCCAUAGUCGUUGUCACCUAUCUCCACCUUCACCUUCUCUCAAUCAGAAACUCGUCACCUCUCUCUCUCUCUUUUGAUUCUGAUUUCGCCUCUUUUUUUUUGGUAAAGGAUUUGUCAUGAAAGUUGAAUCUUUUUCGGUUUUGUGUAUAGAAAAGUAGGUUUCAGGAAGAGGACGGCGGUUUGAGACAGGAAGGCGACGACUGUUUUGGUGUCUCUACUUCUGUAGAUCCGUAAAACCUAGAGUUUAAGGAAAGUUUGCGACAGGGACAGUAGAUGGAGUUUGAGUCGAGCAAGAUAGAAGAGAGGAGAUGGAGUUGGUAUAGAGGCGAGGUAAGAGAGACAGAUAAGAAUUUCUGAUGGUGGUGGAAGAGCACAGAUUGAUUGAGUUGGUUGACGUCGGCGAAGAGUUUGGUGCAGAGAUAGGGUUAAUUAUUUUUAAGGUUAAACCGGUUUAGUUUUUUAGAUUUCCAAACCAAGUUCACGUGUAAACCUUAGGUUAAUUAUGGUUUGGUUUAAUGUUUGUAAUUAGUUUUUUGGUUUAAUGUAUUCUUUAAUUAUUUGUAUACUGAUUUUAAUCAAUAAAUAAAAAUUAAUUUUU